RNAcentral lists this ribosomal RNA (693 nucleotides) under Triticum aestivum (bread wheat). RNAcentral's name for it is "partial small subunit ribosomal RNA". Lineage: Eukaryota; Viridiplantae; Streptophyta; Magnoliopsida; Poales; Poaceae. The record is from RNAcentral.
AUGGAGGGGCUCGACGUCGACGACGUCUUCCACCACUACCGGUUGAGCCCUACGGAAGUGGACGCCGUCACCUACUACCUGCCACGCCUCCUCUCCGGUGAGACGCUGCACGGCGUCGACAAGCUCAUCCACCGCGUCAACAUCUCCGGCUGCGAGCCCAAGGAUCUGGCCGCCCGGUACGCGCCCGUGCCGCAGGCCGUGAGCAGCGGCGACCGGUUCUUCUUCACCACGUGCAAGAGCAAGAACGGGAGCAAGCACCAGAGCGUGCGCGGCGCCGGCACCGGCACCUGGACCAUCCAGAAGACCACGGAGAUUUGCCACGCGGGAGUCAAGGUCGGCGAGGUCAAGAACCUGUCCUUCAAGAAGAAGGGCAAGUCCACCGGCUGGGUCAUGGAGGAGUACCGGUGCCUGCUGCCGGAGGCCACCGUCAGCGACGGGGUGAAGGUCUUCUGCAAGAUGCACUUGGCUCAGCAUGCCCCUGACGCGGCCCGACAGGAAUCGGAGGCGUACAAGCUUCAACAACCGCAACCGGAGGCCGUGACCCAGAGCACGCACGCGCAGAAGAGGCCAGCGACCGCUGCCGCCGCCGAGCCUCAUCCGGCGCGCCCUCAGAAGAGGAUGCGCGGUGCCGUCCCGGUCCCGGCACCUGCCACAUCGUCGUUCACCGCUGCAGCACCGGUUUUCUUGCCGGAU